AUUGAACGCUGGCGGCAUGCCUUACACAUGCAAGUCGAACGGUAACAGGUCUUCGGAUGCUGACGAGUGGCGAACGGGUGAGUAAUACAUCGGAACGUGCCUAGUAGUGGGGGAUAACUACUCGAAAGAGUGGCUAAUACCGCAUGAGAUCUACGGAUGAAAGCAGGGGAUCGCAAGACCUUGUGCUACUAGAGCGGCCGAUGGCAGAUUAGGUAGUUGGUGGGAUAAAAGCUUACCAAGCCGACGAUCUGUAGCUGGUCUGAGAGGACGAUCAGCCGCACUGGGGCUGAGACACGGCCCAGACUCCUACGGGAGGCAGCAGUGGGGAAUUUUGGACAAUGGGCGCAAGCCUGAUCCAGCAAUGCCGCGUGCAGGAUGAAGGCCUUCGGGUUGUAAACUGCUUUUGUACGGAACGAAAAGCCCCGGGUUAAUACCCUGGGGUCAUGACGGUACCGUAAGAAUAAGCACCGGCUAACUACGUGCCAGCAGCCGCCGCCG
This 498-nucleotide ribosomal RNA is filed under the name uncultured bacterium. Its description in RNAcentral is "partial 16S ribosomal RNA". It matches the Rfam family "Bacterial small subunit ribosomal RNA", at positions 30 to 523 of the family's 1533-position model. The record is from RNAcentral.